AUAGUACUCCCUCCGUUUUAAAUUACUCGUCGUAGAAAUGGAUGUAUCUGGAACUAAAAUACAUUAAGAUACAUCCAUUUCUGCGAUAAGUAAUUCGAAACGGAGGGAGUACUAG
Molecule: non-coding RNA, 115 nt
Organism: Triticum aestivum (bread wheat)
Lineage: Eukaryota; Viridiplantae; Streptophyta; Magnoliopsida; Poales; Poaceae
Source: Rfam